RNAcentral lists this transfer RNA (87 nucleotides) under Planctomycetota bacterium. RNAcentral describes it as "Planctomycetes bacterium (bioreactor metagenome) tRNA-Ser". It matches the Rfam family "tRNA". From Rfam's summary of the family: Transfer RNA (tRNA) molecules are approximately 80 nucleotides in length. The record is from RNAcentral. Lineage: Bacteria; Pseudomonadati; Planctomycetota.
GGUGAGGUGCCAGAGCGGUUGAAUGGGCCGGACUUGAAAUCCGGUGUGCCUUUCGGGGUACCGUGGGUUCGAAUCCCACCCUCACCG